CCGGAGUGGACGAACCUCUGGUGUACCGGUUGUCACGCCAGUGGCAUCGCCGGGUAGCUAUGUUCGGAAGAGAUAACCGCUGAAAGCAUCUAAGCGGGAAACUCGCCUUAAGAUGAGAUAUCCCUGGGGACUAGAUCCCCUUGAAGGGUCGUUCGAGACCAGGACGUUGAUAGGUCGGGUGUGUAAGCGCAGUAAUGCGUUCAGCUAACCGAUACUAAUUGCCCGUAAGGCUUGAUCCU
RNAcentral lists this ribosomal RNA (239 nucleotides) under Burkholderia cenocepacia. RNAcentral describes it as "partial 23S ribosomal RNA". It matches the Rfam family "Bacterial large subunit ribosomal RNA", at positions 2692 to 2925 of the family's 2925-position model. Lineage: Bacteria; Pseudomonadati; Pseudomonadota; Betaproteobacteria; Burkholderiales; Burkholderiaceae. The record is from RNAcentral.